Molecule: long non-coding RNA, 3453 nt
Filed under: Homo sapiens (human)
Lineage: Eukaryota; Metazoa; Chordata; Mammalia; Primates; Hominidae
Description: HSALNT0348340
Source: RNAcentral
UUCUUUGAAAAGAAAUUUAGAACUCAUACCUAACAACUCUUCCUCUUGUAUUUCCUUACAGCUUUCUUUUCAAACUUUUUAAACAUGUCUUAGCUUAGUUGUUUUGCUUGAUUUUCCAAAAGAAGAAGCUUCUCUGGAUAAGGUGGAGGAUAGCUAAGGGAGGUUUUAGUAAGUGCCGUUUUUAUGAACCUCUGCAUCGACUUACGGAUGCAUGGUAUGACACAGCACCCGACAAGAAUAAGUAUACCUAUUACGGGUGUGAGGUAAAUUCUUAAGACUCAUCUGCAGAAUGUCUCUUAGGCUGCAUAAAAUACAGACUUUGCACAAAACUUGGUCUAAAAUGAGUAACUUGAAAAAAUUAUUCUCCUACUGACAUCAGCUCGUUGAGCUUUAAUUGUGCCUCUGAUUUACAUGAGAAAACAUAAAAGGGAGUAGAAAGUUACAAUUAAAGGAAGGAAAACAGUCCCUUUCAGCUACUGCCACAGAUCUAUUGUACAGAAUACUUCUCUAUGGAAUACUUCCUCUAUGGCCACAGGCCAGUUCCACUCAGCACUCCUCUCUUUGAAGAGGCCACAAAUCUGACUAAUUUUCAUUUAACUUCAUGGGGCAAGGAAGGGGGCUUCACAGAAUUUCCUAAUCUGUUUCUCUUUAUCAAAUACAUAAUCACUUUUUCUAUCUGCUGAAAAAUAAACCUGCAACAAAAUGAUCAAGACAGUAGAAAAUGCUGUUAUUAUAUUAUUUGAUUGGAGAGCAAAGGCUAAUUUUUGUUUCCUAUUAUAUUCCUUUUGAUUACUAGCACAUGGCAACACUCUGAACACAGUAGGUGCUUUUUGUGUCUAUUAAACUGGAUUUGAGGUGGCACCUGCUCUGUACAUACAUGCCUUUGGUUUGUUUCUUUUUUGCUUUUCAAAAGAUUCCUAUGCUUCCUCAGUGUUGAGACUACUUUUUCUGUUUUCUUUCUCUGGGAUUCAGAGACACUGAGUUCUGCUCCUGGAGUUAUUUAUAGUUUUGGUAGCUAGGUCUCACAUACCUCCUUUGUGCUUCCAAGAGUGUUGUAGGAGUAUAUGUUCUGUCACUGCAGAUGAUCUGUUUUCAUCAUAUUAACAAGGAGAUGGCUGACUAGGUGCUGUGCUUCCCUUUUAGUUGUUCCUUUAUAUUUUUAUGAAUUAAUUUCUGUUUACUUUUGAUAAUUUUCUUAACAGACAUUUGUGCCUCUAUGCAAUCAUAUGUGUCUGUUCCCAUAAGCAGCAGCUUAGUCAAUCACUCAGGGAAAUACAUGCAUCUCUAUGCAUUCACCAGACUGAAGUUCUCCCAGAAACAAGCCCCUGUGCUUCAUUAAACUAUUGAUUUGGUUGUCAUAGAUCAGCUGAAAUGUAUAUCCUUAAAAUGAAGGGAAGUCUCAUGAAGCACUUACACUUAUUAUCUGUUUAUCUAAAAAAAUCAGCAUGUAAAAUUCUGACUUAAGGUUAAAAUUUUCUCUGAAGGGUCAACAUUCCAAAUUUUUACUUAGAUUAUUAGUUAGCUGCUCUGUUGAAUUCUCCCCUCUACCUUAUAGAAAUAAAAUAUUUUGGUUGUUGUUGUAAGAAAGAAUCCAUCAUAUCCAUAUAAAGCACCAAGCCACAUGUUUAGCAAUUGUUUCCAAUAACAAAGUAUGAAACUUGAGAAUGACCUUGGAAGUAGAAAGAUAACUAGUCCCAUGACUAUUAUGCCUAUAUUGUGCCUAUUAUGGGCCACUUGCAGUACUAGACCCCCUACAUGCAUUAUAUCAUUUUAUCCUCCCAACAUCUGACAAUGAAAGAAAUGAAGGCAAAAAGAUUAACUUGGGCAUAUGCUAGCAAGUAGCAGAGCUAGGAAUCAUAUCAAGUUUUUCCUAAGUAUGAAAUUGUUAUUUCUGGAGACAUCUCUCCAUUUAUCCCACAUAUUCUGAUUUGUAUAGUUUGGGGAGUGAGAGGUAGUUUUCCAUAUUUUAAUGUAUAUAAAUGACCUAUGCAGAACUCAAAGGCAGAAUUAACAAGGAAGUGAAAAUAGUUUUAUUCUUCUAAUAUCAUGUAUUUCCUUAUAUAUUAAGGAAGAAUUGGUCUCUGUUUAGCAUAACCAUUAUUAAAAAUAUUUAUGUGAGAAAAAAUGUGUCUGGAACUGUUAGAAAUAUACAAUUAAAUAUGUUAUUUGUCCACUUUAUAUGAUAUUUAUGCUAUAUGUGUCUAUUUCUCCUCCUUGCUUUUUAGGUUAUCAGCAUGAAAAUCAGCCUCUGUUUCUAAGAAAUUCUAAAAAUAUUACUCACCUAUGCCUAUCAUGUCCUGCCACAUUAUAAUCUUGGUUACAGCUCUCAAAAUGUCAGAGCAGAUCAUGAACUAAAGAUGUGUCAUAGCCACGGAAGCCCUAGUCUGGCAGGAAAGAAGAGUCAUUAGGCAUCAUCUGGCAACUUGGCUUGGAGAAGUCAGAUCAGUCACCAAGAGUCUGGUGGGGCUGCAGCAAUGGCUAGAAAGAACCAGUGACAUGAUUGCCAGAUAGAGUGGUCAGAGAAGACCUUUCUGAGGCCAUGGUAUUUAAGAUGAGACUUGAAGAGCAACAAGAAGCUAGACACACAAAGCAGAUAAUUUUUUAAUGGCCAUUUCUGGAGAGAAGUUUCCAAGGGAUGAAGUUAUUAUACAGUUUCCAAAUAUUCCUGAAGAGGUCUAAAGAAAAUGUAUUCUGAUUCCACCUUUUACCUGUUUUCCUUUUUUUUUUUCUCUCUCUCUCUUUUUGGAAUUUGUUAUUUGGAUAUAGGAUACACUAGGCUGGUGCUCCAAUUUUCUUAUAUUUUCUGUUUUCCUUGAAGUUUUAGGGGACUUUCUGAACUUUAUUUUUCAAAAUUCAGUUGAGUCUUUAUUGUUUUCCAAAUAUCAACAUUUCUUACCCAGACUAAUGAACUAGCCUACUCACUCAUCUUUCUGAUCCUAUUCCUCUAUAUUAUCCACCCCAAUCCCAAGUUAAUUCUUGUAUGGUCUUUUUGAAAGACUGCAUGAGGUUUUUUGUUUUUAUUUCUGCUUAAAUUAUUUGCUGAUUUAUUUGCACUUAGGAUACAGGCCUAAAUCCUUAGCUUUGCUGACAUCAUGAAAGAUGUGGGCCCUCCCUAGCACUCCAGUUUCAUCUUACAUCAUGCCACUCUUUGGUACUUUAUCCUUACUGUCCAGCUUCAUUUCCUAGAGUGUCCUGUGACCCUCUUGACUCAGAGCCUCUGCACGUGCUGUUCCCUGUGUUUGUCUCCUUUGUCCAGCUCUACCAACUUCCUUUAUCUCUCAGUGUUCAGGUGUCAUCUCAUCUCCAGCAUGAAUUAGAUGUCUUAUCUUGUGCUUCUCAUUGGGCUAUACUGUAAUGCUUAGCACAUUAGUCAGUUCCCUCAUUGCUAUAAAGAAAUACCUGAGGCUGGGUAAUUUAUAAAGAAAGGAGGUUUAAUUGGCUCACAGUUCUGCA